RNAcentral lists this ribosomal RNA (484 nucleotides) under uncultured bacterium. Its description in RNAcentral is "partial 16S ribosomal RNA". It matches the Rfam family "Bacterial small subunit ribosomal RNA", at positions 30 to 507 of the family's 1533-position model. The record is from RNAcentral.
AUUGAACGCUGGCGGCAGGCCUAACACAUGCAAGUCGAGCGGAUGAAGGGAGCUUGCUCCUGGAUUCAGCGGCGGACGGGUGAGUAAUGCCUAGGAAUCUGCCUGGUAGUGGGGGAUAACGUCCGGAAACGGGCGCUAAUACCGCAUACGUCCUGAGGGAGAAAGUGGGGGAUCUUCGGACCUCACGCUAUCAGAUGAGCCUAGGUCGGUUUAGCUAGUUGGUGGGGUAAAGGCCUACCAAGGCGACGAUCCGUAACUGGUCUGAGAGGAUGAUCAGUCACACUGGAACUGAGACACGGUCCAGACUCCUACGGGAGGCAGCAGUGGGGAAUAUUGGACCAUGGGCGAAAGCCUGAUCCAGCCAUGCCGCGUGUGUGAAGAAGGUCUUCGGAUUGUAAAGCACUUUAAGUUGUGAGGAAGGGCAGUAAGUUAAUACCUUGCUGUAUUGACGUUACCAACAGAAUAAGCACCGGCUAACUUCGUG